UUUACCCUGCUUGGUUCGUGCUUGUGCUUAUUUAAACCCACAGUGUUUCAAACGGGAUUACGGACUUCCGAUACGGUUUGCAGGCCUCCCGGCAAACGCCGCGGCGUUUACCGGAUGUUGGAAGCAAUAAUGUUGAGGAGAGUAAACCCACCUGCUAUAUGUGCAGGAUUUUAAAUCGGCCUCACGGCCAAAGCGGGGACAGU
Molecule: non-coding RNA, 203 nt
Filed under: Oscillospiraceae bacterium
Lineage: Bacteria; Bacillati; Bacillota; Clostridia; Eubacteriales; Oscillospiraceae
Description: 6S RNA
Rfam family: 6S / SsrS RNA
About the family: E. coli 6S RNA was the first non coding RNA to be sequenced, but its function was unknown until recently. It consists of 184 nucleotides that fold into an extended hairpin structure with a large single-stranded internal bulge. The 6S RNA specifically associates with RNA polymerase holoenzyme containing the sigma70 specificity factor.
Source: RNAcentral